This 552-nucleotide ribosomal RNA is filed under the name Candida tropicalis. Its description in RNAcentral is "eukaryotic LSU rRNA". It matches the Rfam family "Eukaryotic large subunit ribosomal RNA", at positions 85 to 654 of the family's 3401-position model. The record is from RNAcentral. Lineage: Eukaryota; Fungi; Ascomycota; Pichiomycetes; Serinales; Debaryomycetaceae.
AGCGGCGAGUGAGCGGCAAAAGCUCAAAUUUGAAAUCUGGCUCUUUCAGAGUCCGAGUUGUAAUUUGAAGAAGGUAUCUUUGGGUCUGGCUCUUGUCUAUGUUUCUUGGAACAGAACGUCACAGAGGGUGAGAAUCCCGUGCGAUGAGAUGAUCCAGGCCUAUGUAAAGUUCCUUCGAAGAGUCGAGUUGUUUGGGAAUGCAGCUCUAAGUGGGUGGUAAAUUCCAUCUAAAGCUAAAUAUUGGCGAGAGACCGAUAGCGAACAAGUACAGUGAUGGAAAGAUGAAAAGAACUUUGAAAAGAGAGUGAAAAAGUACGUGAAAUUGUUGAAAGGGAAGGGCUUGAGAUCAGACUUGGUAUUUUGUAUGUUACUUCUUCGGGGGUGGCCUCUACAGUUUAUCGGGCCAGCAUCAGUUUGGGCGGUAGGAGAAUUGCGUUGGAAUGUGGCACGGCUUCGGUUGUGUGUUAUAGCCUUCGUCGAUACUGCCAGCCUAGACUGAGGACUGCGGUUUAUACCUAGGAUGUUGGCAUAAUGAUCUUAAGUCGCCCGUCU